This 395-nucleotide ribosomal RNA is filed under the name uncultured bacterium. Its description in RNAcentral is "partial 16S ribosomal RNA". It matches the Rfam family "Bacterial small subunit ribosomal RNA", at positions 360 to 773 of the family's 1533-position model. The record is from RNAcentral.
AAUAUUUCACAAUGGGGGAAACCCUGAUGCAGCGACGCCGCGUGAGCGAAGAAGGCCUNCGUGUCNUNAAGCUCUGUCCUAAGGGNCGAAACGGACGGUACCAUAGGAGGAAGCUCCGGCUAACUACGUGCCAGCAGCCGCGGUAAUACGUAGGGGGCGAGCGUUAUCCGGAAUUAUUGGGCGUAAAGGGUGCGUAGGCGGCCUUUUAAGUCAGAUGUGAAAGGCUACGGCUUAACCGUAGGUAGCUUUUGAAACUAAUAGGCUUGAGUGCAGGAGAGGAGAGUGGCAUUACUAGUGUAGCGGUGAAAUGCGUAUAUAUUAGGAGGAACAACAGUGGCGAAGGCGACUCUCUGGACUGCAACUGACGCUGAGGCACGAAAGCGUGGGGAGCGAAC